RNAcentral lists this long non-coding RNA (5668 nucleotides) under Oryza brachyantha (malo sina). Its description in RNAcentral is "long non-coding RNA (OBRA_LNC003014)". Lineage: Eukaryota; Viridiplantae; Streptophyta; Magnoliopsida; Poales; Poaceae. The record is from RNAcentral.
UUCUGAUAGCCUGGACUGUUGGUUUGUUCUGCUAGUUCUUGUUCCCUGACAAAAUGCAGUGAACAGGUAACCAAAUCUUGAUAAUUUUCCACCUUGGAAUACCUGAUAAUAGUGAAUGACAAUUUGUGUUCGUCAAUGGACCUGAUAUAUAGACGCUGGUGCCCUUGCCAAGCCACUCUCAUCUUAUCAUCCACGCGCCACCCUUGCUAAGCAGCCAUGAUCUCAUCAUCCACACGAACAGGAGCUUUGCACACCAACUGAAUAGGGGUGGAGAGGUCACUGCAUCAUACGAAGUUCUCUGUGAUUAGUAUCUAAUAUGAUUAUGAAAUAAUUUCAUUCUUCGGUUCAUUUUAGCAAUUUUUUUUUAAUUUUAGUAUGUUAGAGACUGUGUACUGUUUGCUGCUAAUUACUCUUAUUCUCACCAGUCCUAUAUACAAUUAUUUACUUAAAAAAAUAUACACCAUUUUAGUUGUGAUCCCAUCUUAAGAGAAGAUACACUAACAAAAAAUCACACUUUUAUGAAUAUGUCACAUGAUAGUGAUGUAAUAUAUUUCAAGUGUUGGUUCUGCACCUCAUACUGUGAAUAGUUUGUUCCUCAACUUUAGUUGCAGGUCAUCCUUUUAUUUUCUAUAAUCGUCAACUCAGGUUGUAGAAAAUGGACUAAUUAGACUUUCUUAGGAUGAUGGGGGCAAUUCAAUAUUUAGCAAUUAAAAAACACACAUUACCUUAUUUACAGUUGAUUUCUAACCGAUAUAGUGUCAUUAAGAAAUGAGUGACAAAUAAGUCAUUUUGGUGACAUGUAAGGUAAAUCAAAACAAUUGGGCUGCAGUUCUUUUUAAGCUGGAGUGGGGAAAACCUCUCCUAUCUCCAUUGUGGGAAACAAAUUGUUAAAAAUGGUAUCUCAGUGAGGCUAGCUAGUGUUAACUAAAACCCCACCAAACUAAGAACACUAUAAUGUGAUGCCAUCCCAUCACAGAAACAAGUCUCGGCUGAGUACUAGUUAUAAUUAGGUACAGAAAGGACACCACAACCAUUUCAACACAGAGAGACACACCAAAAUGAACACAUCAAAGUGGCCAUGCUCUAAAUUAAUUUCCCAGCCAUACUUGGUAGUGAACACUUCAUUUGCCAUCUAUUUUGCAUUUGGCUACGUGGAAGUUUCAUGGGGAUAUCUCGUGUUCAUUGGAUUCCAGUCUGUAUUACAUGCGUGUCCUACAAAAAGCAUUGGCAAUAAAUAUGCAUACAUCAUUGGGUUUCCGUAGCUUAAGUAUGAUAGCCAAGUUAUUUUAUAACUACCGAAUUACCAUUGUUUUGUUCAAAAAUAAAUAAAUAAGUGGCAAUUCAGUAGUUGUACCCAUGAAUGUUUAUUUUAUCAUUAAGAAACUUUAGUGAACAUUAUCUCAUCUUCAGAUCAUGUUAACAGAUAUUGUGCAUUCCUUGCCGACCUACAAUAUUGGAACUUUUCUGAACCAUUUUUGGUGGAUGUCCCUUACUGAUUUGUCCUAUGGCAACCAUAUUAGCUUCUUUGGUUGGGUCAUGUGCCAAUAAGUUGAAAGAGAUCAUUACUGAAGAGGUGAUACUUAUUCUAGGGAUACAAGAAGAGCUCGCAGAGUUGCAGCGCAAAACAGAACUUAUACAUUGUUGUAUUACUGAUGCUGAGACAAGGAGGAUGGAAGAGUCAACAGUUGACAACUGGCUUGGUCAGCUAAGAGAAGUUCUGUAUGAUAUUGAUGAUGUUAUUGACUUGGCUAGAUUUAAGGGAAGCAUUCUACUAACUGAUCAUCCUUCAUCAACAUCAUCAAGGAAAUCAAUUGCUUGCACUGGCCUGUCAAUUUCUGCUUGCUUUUCUAAUAUUCAAACACGUCAUGAGGUUGCUGUUAAGAUUAGAAGUCUGAACAGGAAGAUAGACAACAUUUCAAAGGACAGAGUGUUUUUGACACUAAAGAAUACACCUCCUACUGGAAACAGUUCAGUAUUAGCGAGAAAAAGUUCCCACCUGCUUGAGCCCAACAUUGUUGGCAAGGAGGUCAUACAUGCAUGCAGAAAAGUAGUGGACUUAGUUCUUGAACAUAAGGAGAGGAAACAAUACAAGGUUGCAAUUGUUGGAACUGGAGGAGUUGGUAAGACAACAUUAGCUCAGAAAAUAUAUAAUGAUAAAAAAAUAAGAGGAAAUUUCAACAAAAAGGCGUGGGUUUGUGUUUCCAAAGUGUACUCUGAAGCUUCUCUUUUGAGAGAACUUCUUCGAAUUAUGGAAGUUCAUCAUGACCAAGAUGAAUCAGUUGGAGAGCUCCAAAGCAAGCUUGAAAUAGCAAUUAAGGAGAGGAGUUUUCUCCUUGUGUUGGAUGACUUGUGGCAAUCCGACACUUGGAUAAAUUUACUAAGAACUCCACUGCAUGCUGCAGCAACAGGAGUAAUUCUAGUAACAACUAGAAAUGAUACUGUUGCUCUAGAAAUUGGUGUGGACUAUACGCAUCGAGUUGAUUUGAUGCCGGUUGAUGUAGGAUGGGAGCUACUUUGGAAGAGCAUGAACAUCAAUGAACGCAUAGAAGUGCAAACUCUGCAGGAUACUGGGAUUGAGAUUGUUCGCAAAUGUGGUUGCCUUCCUCUUGGAAUCAAGGUUAUUGCUAGAGUGUUAGUGAGUAAAGAACAAACAGAGAACGAAUGGAAAAACAUUUUGAGCAACAAUGCUUGGUUCACGAACAAGCUUCCUAAUGAUCUGAGAGGUGCUUUGUAUCUUAGUUAUGAUGAGUUACCACGGCAUUUAAAACAAUGCUUUCUUUAUUGUAGUGUAUAUCCUGAAAAUGCAACCAUUUACCGUGAUGAUCUUACAAGGAUGUGGAUCGCUGAAGGCUUUAUAGAGGACCAUGGAGGUCAAUUACUAGAAGAUACGGCAGACGACUAUUACUAUGAGCUGAUCCAUCGGAACCUUCUCCAACCAAAUGGUUUAUAUUAUGACCACAGCAGCUGCAAAAUGCAUGAUCUUUUAAGGCAUCUUGCUUGUUAUUUGUCAAGGGAAGAAUGUUUUGUUGGAAACCCAGAAUCAUUGGUAGGUAAUACUAUGUCUAAACUGCGGCGUGUUUCAGUCGUCACAGAGAAGAACAUGGUGAUGUUUCCUAGCAUGGAUGAGGUGAAAUAUAAAGUAAGGACUUGGAAAACUUCUUAUGAGAAAACACUCAGAGUUGAUACAUCAUUUUUCAAGAGAUUUCCCUAUCUUCGCGUUUUAGAUUUGACUGACUCAUUUGUACCAAGCAUUCCAGGUUACAUUGGAAAUUUGAUCCAUCUACGUUUGCUUGAUCUUGACGGCACCGAUGUAUCUUGUCUUCCAGAGUCCAUUGGCUCCCUAAAAAAUCUUCAAAUAUUGAACUUGGAGAGGUGUGCUGCUUUGCAUAGCCUUCCUUCGGCAAUCACCCAAUUGUGCAAUUUAAGGCGCCUCGGCCUUAAUUAUACACCGAUAGAUCGAGUUCCAGAAGGGAUAGGCAAAUUGGAAUUUCUCAAUGAUGUAGAAGGGUUUCCAGUUUAUGGUGGCAGUGGUAAUACUAAAAUGCAAGAUGGAUGGAACUUGGAAGAGUUGGCUCAUCUUUACCAACUAAGGCGACUUCAUAUGCUUAAAUUGGAAAGAGCAGCUGACUGCACUGCUUAUCCGUUGUUAACAGACAAAAGGUUUCUGAAAUUUUUGUAUCUAUGGUGUACUGAAUGUGCAGAUGAAUCAUACUCAGAAAAGGAUUUCAGCAAUAUUGAGAAGAUCUUUGAGCAGCUAAUCCCACCGUGUAACCUGGAAGAUCUUGCUAUUGUUAGAUUCUUUGGUCGCCAGUAUCCCUCCUGGAUAGAUUCCAGCCAUUUGGUUUAUGUAAAAUCCUUGCACCUCUUCAAUUGCAAAUUCUGUAAGCAUCUUCCACCAAUUGGGCAGCUACCUAACUUAAAAUAUCUAAAAAUCGAGGGAGCAACUGCAGUUGCCACAAUUGGACCCGAAUUUGUUGGCCGCAGGGUGAGUAAUCUUCAGCAAACAGUUGCUUUCCCGAAGCUUGAAGAGUUGCUCAUACGAGAUAUGCCCAACUGGGAGGAGUGGUUCUUUAUUGAUGAAGCAACACCAACUGCUAAGGAACGGAUUGAUGAUGGAGAUACUGCAAUGUCAAAAGGGGAAGUCUUACCUCCAAGGAUGCAGCUACUGUCACGGUUGAAGAGGUUGGAACUUUUUGGCUGUCCAAAGCUGAGAGCUCUUCCACAGCAACUCGCACAGGCCAGCAGUCUGAAGGAGAUCGAACUAAGAUGGGCAAGCAACCUGAAGGUGGUGGAGAACUUCCCCUUCCUCUCUGAGAUGCUUUUGAUUGCAACAUGUCAAUCCCUGGAGAAGGUCUCUAACCUUCCUCAAGUGCGAGAGCUGCGGGUGCAGGACUGCCCAAACUUGAGGUGUGUCGAGGUGUUGGGAACUUUGGAGCAGCUAUGGCUUUAUGAGGACAUGCAUGAGAUAUCUACAUUGUGGGUGCCUGGGCUUCAACAGCAGUGUCGACAACGUCAUGGAGAGGAUCUUGAUGUUUACAAUUGGACAUAGUGAUAAGGUAAACUUAAUAUACAGAUGUCUAAACUUAGUUGACCUUUUGAUAAUUUGAUGUGAGGUAUGCGAUCUUAUCUACUUUGGAUUCAGAUUGUGCCCUUUUUGUCAUGCCAUUGUGUGCAUAGAUGAAUUUUAUUUGCUUUACUAGUUCUUGGUCUUGAGGGUGAAAAGAUCUAGGACUUAAUUCAAUAUGUCAGACAUGACAAAUAAUCCGAAAGCAACUUCAGUAUAAGAACUAGGAAACCGUACUUUAUAGUUUUCGUACUACAAACACCUUUGUUCUGGUAACCCUCUAUUGGGUUCUGCAACCUUCCAUACAGCUCAUUAUCAGCCAUUAGCAUAUCGAUGUUUAGAUAGCAUUUGUAUAUACUCAAUACAGUUGAAGAAGUAAUAGAAGCAGGAAUGAAUGAAUGAAAUGGAUUAAUGGAUAGAUGGUAGGAGUACCAGACUGGGAUAUGUUCAGCAAAUUGAGCUCAUUGUCAUCCCACCCUAUUGUUGAACUUUGCAUCAUGAUAAUUGUGCGCAAGGCUUUUCUCACUGUAAUCCCAUCAUAUAUUGAAUUAACUGUAGUUUUGAAUUUUGAUUCAUUCAUGUUUUCUGCAGGGGUAUGUUAACCAGUGUCCAUACUUCACACUUCACCCUCCCUAAUGCAAAAUUUUUCCCUCUGCAAUCUGUUCUGCUAGCAAGCUUAUCUGCUACCUUUCGUGUGCAGGAUUCAGAGCUCAAGUUUUUUCCACAAAAUGGUUUCUAUAGACACAAAUCUGGGUAAAAUCUGGUUUCCAACCAUCUCAUGGAGACUGAAAUUAAAAUCAAGUUUUGUGUUCAUUCCUGUACUCAUCAGUUAUUAUCAGUUCACUACUGUAGUACCGUAGUUUCAUCUUAACUGUUUUGUUUCAUGAAUAACAAGUACUUGAGAAAUCAAAUCCCCGCCAAAAAAAAAAAAACACACACACACACACAAUGCAACCAAAGCUGUAGCGAAGUUCAUCUACCCAGAGACGAGAAGAGGAAGUGAGGGAGGCGUCACGUACCUCGGUUGAGCUCGAGGAAGAGGAAGAGGCCGCGUUGCCGACACCGGGCGCCGCGGCGGCGAACGGGGACCACGGAGUGCUCGAG